AGAGUUUGAUUCUGGCUCAGGAUGAACGCUGGCGGUAUGCUUAAUACAUGCAAGUCGUACGAGAACUUUUAGUUCUAGUGGCGGACGGGUGAGUAACACGUGAGAAUCUGCCCUUAGGAGGAGGAUAACAGCUGGAAACGGUUGCUAAUACUCCAUAUGCCGAGAGGUGAAAGGAUUUAUCUGCCUAAGGGGGAGCUCGCGUCUGAUUAGCUAGUUGGUAGGGUAAUAGCCUACCAAGGCGACGAUCAGUAGCUGGUUUGAGAGGAUGAUCAGCCACACUGGGACUGAGACACGGCCCAGACUCCUACGGGAGGCAGCAGUAGGGAAUUUUCCGCAAUGGGCGAAAGCCUGACGGAGCAAUACCGCGUGAGGGAUGACGGCCUGUGGGUUGUAAACCUCUUUUCUCAAGGAAGAAGCUCUGACGGUACUUGAGGAAUAAGCAUCGGCUAACUCUGUGCCAGCAGCCGCGGUAAUACAGAGGAUGCAAGCGUUAUCCGGAAUCACUGGGCAUAAAGCGUCUGUAGGUGGUUUAGUAAGUCUGCUGUUAAAGACUGGGGCUCAACCCCAGAAAAGCAGUGGAAACUGCUAGACUUGAGUGUGGUAGAGGUAGAGGGAAUUCCUAGUGUAGCGGUGAAAUGCGUAGAUAUUAGGAAGAACACCAAUGGCGAAGGCACUCUACUGGGCCAUAACUGACACUGAGAGACGACAGCUAGGGGAGCAAAUGGGAUUAGAUACCCCAGUAG
RNAcentral lists this ribosomal RNA (743 nucleotides) under uncultured bacterium. Its description in RNAcentral is "bacterial SSU rRNA". It matches the Rfam family "Bacterial small subunit ribosomal RNA", at positions 8 to 793 of the family's 1533-position model. The record is from RNAcentral.